RNAcentral lists this ribosomal RNA (253 nucleotides) under uncultured bacterium. RNAcentral's name for it is "partial 16S ribosomal RNA". It matches the Rfam family "Bacterial small subunit ribosomal RNA", at positions 524 to 776 of the family's 1533-position model. The record is from RNAcentral.
UACGUAGGGGGCAAGCGUUGUCCGGAGUUACUGGGCGUAAAGCGCCCGCAGGCGGUCGGCCCAGUUCGCGGUGACAGCGCUCGGCUCAACCGAGCGAGGACCGAGAAGACGCGCCGACUUGAGGGCCAGAGAGGGACAUGGAACUCCGGGUGGAGUGGUGAAAUGCGUAGAGAUCCGGAAGAACACCAAAGGCGAAGGCAGUGUCCUGGCUGGUACCUGACGCUCAGGGGCGAAAGCGAGGGGAGCGAACGGG